AGCGAACGCUGGCGGCAGGCCUAACACAUGCAAGUCGAACGAACCUUUCGGGGUUAGUGGCGGACGGGUGAGUAACACGUGGGAACGUGCCUUUAGGUUCGGAAUAACUCAGGGAAACUUGUGCUAAUACCGAAUGUGCCCUUCGGGGGAAAGAUUUAUCGCCUUUAGAGCGGCCCGCGUCUGAUUAGCUAGUUGGUUGAGGUAAUGGCUCACCAAGGCGACGAUCAGUAGCUGGUCUGAGAGGAUGAUCAGCCACAUUGGGACUGAGACACGGCCCAAACUCCUACGGGAGGCAGCAGUGGGGAAUCUUGCGCAAUGGGCGAAAGCCUGACGCAGCCAUGCCGCGUGAAUGAUGAAGGUCUUAGGAUUGUAAAAUUCUUUCACCGGGGACGAAAAUGACGGUACCCGGAGAAGAAGCCCCGGCUAACUUCGUG
This 434-nucleotide ribosomal RNA is filed under the name uncultured bacterium. Its description in RNAcentral is "partial 16S ribosomal RNA". It matches the Rfam family "Bacterial small subunit ribosomal RNA", at positions 29 to 507 of the family's 1533-position model. The record is from RNAcentral.